This 447-nucleotide long non-coding RNA is filed under the name Fukomys damarensis (Damara mole-rat). RNAcentral describes it as "lncRNA (ENSFDAG00000030265.1)". The record is from RNAcentral. Lineage: Eukaryota; Metazoa; Chordata; Mammalia; Rodentia; Bathyergidae.
CAGGACACCAGGAGUCGGACACUGGCCUUGGAAACGGAUUGUUUACAUUUGUUUGUAGUCUUCUUGAAGCAGAGGUUAGAUCAUAGCUCUUCUGGGCUGGAAAAGUCAACUAGAAUCUGCUAAUGGCCAGUUGUUCCACCAGGUUGCUUCUAGCCAGUCCUUCUGUGCUUUCCGGGAAGCCAAACAAAUAAGAUGCACUUCCGUCACCGCUCUGAGGACUCUCCUUGGCUGGCUCUUUCAGCCUGCAGGAAUGCUGGAGACCGGUGUAUGCUGGCCAUCAUACGACCCAACUCCGUGUCCCAGCACAUUCCAGGAAACUUACAGCAGGUGACUAAUGCACAUUUCGCCACCAUUUUGAGUUGCACGCGAUGGGGACUGUCAUUUGGUUGAACAAUACAUUAAAACUGUUUUAAGCACUUGUAUUACAAAAUAACAAUAAAAUCAUGG